AGCGUUGUCCGGAUUUAUUGGGCGUAAAGCGAGUGCAGGCGGCUCGAUAAGUCUGAUGUGAAAGCCUUCGGCUCAACCGGAGAAUUGCAUCAGAAACUGUCGAGCUUGAGUACAGAAGAGGAGAGUGGAACUCCAUGUGUAGCGGUGAAAUGCGUAGAUAUAUGGAAGAACACCGGUGGCGAAGGCGGCUCUCUGGUCUGUUACUGACGCUGAGGCUCGAAAGCAUGGGUAGCGAACAGGAUUAGAUACCCUGGUAGUCCAUGCCGUAAACGAUGAGUGCUAAGUGUUGGGAGGUUUCCGCCUCUCAGUGCUGCAGCUAACGCAUUAAGCACUCCGCCUGGGGAGUACGACCGCAAGGUUGAAACUCAAA
This 370-nucleotide ribosomal RNA is filed under the name uncultured bacterium. Its description in RNAcentral is "bacterial SSU rRNA". It matches the Rfam family "Bacterial small subunit ribosomal RNA", at positions 537 to 905 of the family's 1533-position model. The record is from RNAcentral.